CCUCCCGGUGGCUGGGCCAGUCAGAGCCCAGCACAUGGCCAUUCAUCCAAAGCAACCUCUUACACUUGGUUGAUUGGUGAGUUGGAGGCUCCACUGGCCCCUGUCAGACUUGAGACCUCACACCUGCCCACCACAGCCAGUUUCCCACACAGCCUGGGACUGACUGGGUGAUGGAGAAGGAUCCUUACCAUGGAAUCUUAUCCAGGUCCAGCCCCAGGGUUGCAAAGAUUGAUGCCUGGAAGCUGGGACUCCAGCCCAAGCUGGGGGAGGAUCCUUUCCCCUCUGGGCUCCUGUGUUUCCACCUAAGGCCCAGUUCACCCAUGAGCCAGGCAUCUGCUGGCAGAUGAGAACAAGACAUGGUCUCAGGAAGUCUGCAGGCAGACCCCCGGCCUUCCAGGAUGAGACCUGAGGCCAUGCCGCAUUCCUGGCCUGGCCAUGUCUGUUCAUAGAAUUGCCUCCACGUUGGCCAGCCCCACGCCUCCAGACUCUAUGUCUACACAGCUCACCUUGGUAAUCUCGGGGCCAGAGGACAGAAGCAGCUUAUGUUGGGAAGGGGCAUCUGAGAAGGAGGAGCAGGUCUGUUUGUCAAGAAUCCAAGCACGCCUGUGCUCUGUGGCCACAGGGAGAGGAGGGGCCGCUUUUAAAUACAAGCCUACUCCUGUCGUUGGACCACAACAAAGACCCACUGGACAGAAGCACAUGAGAGGAGGAGUUUCACUCAUCGCCCAGACUAGAGCGCAAUGGUUCGAUCUUGGCUCACUGCAACUUCCACCUCCCGAGUUCAAGCGAUUCUCCUGACAGAAGUCCACUCAAGCCAGCCAUUG
This 824-nucleotide non-coding RNA is filed under the name Pongo abelii (Sumatran orangutan). The record is from RNAcentral. Lineage: Eukaryota; Metazoa; Chordata; Mammalia; Primates; Hominidae.